RNAcentral lists this ribosomal RNA (195 nucleotides) under uncultured Lactobacillus sp. RNAcentral's name for it is "partial 16S ribosomal RNA". It matches the Rfam family "Bacterial small subunit ribosomal RNA", at positions 338 to 525 of the family's 1533-position model. RNAcentral also lists the same sequence under 1 other name. Lineage: Bacteria; Bacillati; Bacillota; Bacilli; Lactobacillales; Lactobacillaceae. The record is from RNAcentral.
UCUACGGGAGGCAGCAGUAGGGAAUCUUCCACAAUGGGCGCAAGCCUGAUGGAGCAACACCGCGUGAGUGAAGAAGGGUUUCGGCUCGUAAAGCUCUGUUGUUAAAGAAGAACACGUAUGAGAGUAACUGUUCAUACGUUGACGGUAUUUAACCAGAAAGUCACGGCUAACUACGUGCCAGCAGCCGCGGUAAUA